RNAcentral lists this RNase P RNA (289 nucleotides) under Lysobacterales bacterium. RNAcentral's name for it is "partial RNase P RNA component class A". It matches the Rfam family "Bacterial RNase P class A", at positions 71 to 367 of the family's 367-position model. Rfam says of the family: Ribonuclease P (RNase P) is a ubiquitous endoribonuclease, found in archaea, bacteria and eukarya as well as chloroplasts and mitochondria. Its best characterised activity is the generation of mature 5'-ends of tRNAs by cleaving the 5'-leader elements of precursor-tRNAs. Cellular RNase Ps are ribonucleoproteins. The record is from RNAcentral. Lineage: Bacteria; Pseudomonadati; Pseudomonadota; Gammaproteobacteria; Lysobacterales.
GUGCCAGGUAACGCCUGGGCGGCGCGAGCCGACGGAAAGUGCAACAGAGAACAGACAGCCGAACGGCUCUCCGGAGUGCGUGGUGAUGGUGAAACGGUGCGGUAAGAGCGCACCGCGCGCGGGGCCAACGCCGCGUGGCACGGCAAACCCCACUCGGAGCAAGACCAAAUAGGGAUGCAAUGCCGUGGCCCGCGGUGCAUCCGGGUAGGUUGCUUGAGCCCGAUGGCGACGUCGGGCCGAGAGGAAUGACUGUCCACGACAGAACCCGGCUUAUCGGCCGGCUCCGCCC